CGCACCUUAUUUGAGAAUUUAAAUAGAACAAGAAGAAAUGUAAAAAAAGAAAAAAAAAAAUUAUAAAACAGAAAUGGAUGACAUAAUUUUGAUUCAUAAAACCUCGAAUGUUCAAGAAAGAGGUUUAUGAGAGGGUGCUCCCCGAACACCGGAGAAGUUUUCUUUCAGAGUGAGCAACUCAGCACAUGCAAUGGAGUUUCCUUCUUCCUCCAUCUUCUCCCCUCGCCCCUCAGACGACACCGUUUUCUACGCCAUAUACCCUGACUCCCCCACCGCUACAGCCACCGCCACCGCCACCGCGACGCUCCACUCCCUCCAUCUCCAAAUCCUCCAAACAAUAUCCCCCUUCACCCAAGACUACAUCUGGCAGCACCAACCCUUCACUCUCUCCGUUUCGACCUCCCCCAAUCCCUCUUGCCCCUGCUCCUCCUCAUCCAACCUCCCCCACCUCCACGGCCACCUCCGCUACGGUGACAACCUCGACGACGAGUGGUUUGCCGUCUUCCUCCUUUUCCAAAUCUCCAUCCGUUUCCCCUCCCUUUCCCUCCGCCUCUGGGACUCCGACGGCGACUUCCUCCUCAUUGAGGCCGCCUUCCACCUCCCUCGUUGGCUUAACCCCGACACCUCUCAUCACCGCCUCUUUCUCCGACUUGGAAACCUGCACAUCGUUCCCCGCGACCGCCUUCCCCACCCCUCCCUCGUCGACUCCCUCGCCUUCGUUGCCAAUUCCGGCCACGAAUCCCUCGCCUCCGACGCAAUCCAGCGAGCCGUGAAGAAACGCAUCGAGGACUAUCCCGAGCGCGCCGGGAGGAACAUGCAUAAGGUUAGGGUUAGGGUUCCGGUAUCCGUGGCUUGGGUUCUGAAGCACGAGCCGCGAUUGAUUUCACUUGCGGUGGAGGGGUUCUACGACAGGGAUGUAGACACGAUGAAAUUCGCAGGGAGUAUGGAGAGGUUCGUGGAGAGAGGGGCAACAGAGGAGUUAGUCUGCGUUUCGGUGAAGAUGUCGAGGGCGAUGUACGCGCAGUUGGUGCAGCAGCGGUUUCAGGCUCCGAAGUGUUACCCGACGAUGCCGUGUCGGGUUGAGAGGGAGGGGUUCGUGGAGGCGGAGCUGGGGAUGAAGAUAGCUUGUGGAUUGGAGAUGAUGUAUCAGCAGCGGAAGCGUGAUGGGGUGGAAGGGCAAGGGAGCACUUGGGAGGCGUUUAGGAAGAGCUUGGAGAACAGUGGCUACUUCCAAGGGCUACUUCCGGGUUCCUCUGAGUAUCAGAGAUUGGUGCAGAGUGCUCAAGAGUAUUAUAGGAAUACUUCUCUCCAUUCCCAGGCCAGUGAGUUGAUGAAUGCUCCUGUUAGACGUAUAGAUGAAAUUCUUGCUCUGCCCCACUCAGUGGACGAUUUUAGGGAUCAAGAGGUUCCUCCAUCUGAUGAUGAUUCCUGGCUUUAUGGCGGAGAGGAAGAAUUGAACUCUGUUCUUAUGGAAAGACAAAAGGAGAUGGAGCUAUAUGACUUAAAACACAAAAAGAAAGGGAAAGCAAAAGAGGAUCAAGAUACUAGUCCAUCAUCUGCUUUGAAUGCUGACGAGUUUGAUCCUGGAGAUAUAGCAAAGACCAUGCAGUCAUUUGUCCAUAAGUUGUCAAGUUACAAGGGUGCCGAAGCUCCUGAGGACAGGAAUAUGGAAGUGGACAUUGAUGUAGACCAAUUUAUUAAAGACAUGGGAUCAAUAAUGAAGUAUUCAGACAAUGAAGCUGCCAACGGCAAUAUUGAAGAAGGAUCAUCCUCUGACCCGGACUUUGAUGAUUCUGAGAGUGAUGUGGAUGAGAUGGGGGAGGAAGAUGAUGAUACUUUCUUGCGGACCUAUUCUGACGCUAUGAAUGAAGAACUAAAGGCAACCACCCUUCAGAAAAGUUUUGUUCGUGCUAAUGAACAGAUUCCAGCGAAUCAGGGAACAUCUAAUGCAUCAGAACAUAAUAUGGACGAUGAUUUUUCUCCUGUAGAUGUGGAUGUAAAUUUAGUAAAAAGCAUUCUUGAUUCCCUUUCUUCCCAACAAGGCCUUCCUGGUCCUGCUUCUAAUUUGCUCGGCCUCAUGGGGGUGCAGUUACCACAAGAUACAAAGAAGGGCAAUUGAAGAUACUGAAAUAUUUAUCUGGGUUUAAGUUUUGGGAUUCUUCAAUGAUAUUCAUCUGGAUGGCAUGUUUCCCAACCUGUUUACUAUCCUUUAUUUUUUUCACGUUGGGUAGGAACCUGCUUAGCAGAGGGCAUAUGGGAAUGCUUGCUAGUAAUGGUGUAACUUCACCAUGUUUUGGCACUUGACAAGGGCUUGCCUCCAGAGAAAAGCAAGACAACGUUCAUCUGUAGCUUGUUUAUUGGAUGUAACAGGGGUCAUACAGGAGAAGAUUGAUUGUUUCUUUGGUUUGGAGCCAAAGAUAAAAGACCUCAGAGGAACCUUGGCCCGAGACUCUGAUUGUCUUAGCUGGCCAUUUUGAUGUCUUUUUGAAACCGAGAAUCCAUGUUCAUCAUUCAAGUUCACCAGAGCCUUUUCUACGUCAAGUUGGAGAGCUGAUACAACAUCUAAACCCGCUUGAAGUUCAUCAGCAACCUUGUUGUUUUCCUGUUUCAUGUUCAAAAUCUCACCUUGGAACUUGGCAGCUUGGUAGCUUGUGAACCUGAAGUCAUCAUCUUCAGCACUGGAUUUCAAUGCUGCUGUUAUAUCCUCUUGGAUGUCACACAAAGAUGAGAAUCGAUUAUGCAGUUCUUCCUUCAACACGGCACCUUUUUCCAUCCAGACAGUUAUUUCACCCUGGAUCUCUGUUAGGUGUUUGUAAAUUGGUUUUGCAUCUGAUCUUAUAGAAUACUUUAUACUACUACUACCCUCUGACG
Vigna angularis (adzuki bean) is the source of this 2871-nucleotide RNA transcript. It is a transcript of the gene named protein ecdysoneless homolog, with no coding region annotated. The transcript is spliced from 6 exons. The record is from RefSeq and is a predicted model, not a curated record. NCBI's taxonomy places the organism in Eukaryota, Viridiplantae, Streptophyta, Magnoliopsida, Fabales, Fabaceae.